Long non-coding RNA from Athalia rosae (coleseed sawfly), 932 nucleotides. RefSeq lists it as uncharacterized. The transcript is spliced from 2 exons. NCBI's taxonomy places the organism in Eukaryota, Metazoa, Arthropoda, Insecta, Hymenoptera, Athaliidae. The record is from RefSeq and is a predicted model, not a curated record.
CUCUACACUCGUUGGUUAUACAAUUUCAAAGAUGACUUUUGGUAAAUUGCCGGAAACUGAAUCAGGAAUAAAUGACAAACGACGAGGGUUUGGAAUUUAUUCGGUGACGUGUGGCUACAAUGUCUGUAACGAGAGUUUUAAGUUUUUCGGGCAAUGUAUGGGGUUGUUUCUUUCCCGAGAAAAUUCAAUGAAUCGUAUCGUCUCAUUUUGAGAAUGAUGAAUUUAUAGUUUUGUAACUAAACGAUGACGGUUUCUGGUAAAACGUGUCCAACGAAACUAAGAAAGAAAGAAAGAAAGAAAGUAUAAGUCGGCGAUGACGUUCCCAACGUGACAUAACCGAACCGAAAUAAGUUACGGGGUUUCUCGUGAAGUUAACAAGUUGUUUUUUUUUUUUUUCCUCUUCCCAAACUAAUAGUUCCGAAAUUAAUGCGCCGCGACUCCGACGCUCGUAAAACUCAACGGAGAACGUGAACUCGAGAACGUGAACAACCCCCGGAGGAUUGAAAGAAUAUGCGGUCGACAAAAACCAUCUCAGCUGGAUCCGGUAAUUAUCCUCGAGGAAUCAUAAGACGUUCGAAACUCUGCACCGACGUCUGACACAUUCCUCGACAAGAUCGAAGCUACCGCGUUACAUUGAGACACAAAAUUGUUUAACAUGUACAAUAAAAAUUUUUACAGCCCGAACAAUUUGCAUAAAGCCUGUACAGAUGAUCGGUUCAUUCGAAUACCCACGUUAUACUUCCUAUUCAAUAUUCUAUGACAUUCGCUCUUACUUUUUAUACGAUUUUUUGUCCGUUUGGCAGGAAUCGCAUACGACUACAGGUGUAUAAUAGCGUUUAGCGUCGCGAGUGUUGAAUGGCUCAUCGUAUAUGUAACGAUGAAUAAUUUGCUAAGCCAGACAUGUUAUCAUAAUAAACGAUAAAAUUUUUUAA